UGGGGAAUAUUGGACAAUGGGGGAAACCCUGAUCCAGCAAUGCCGCGUGAGUGAAGAAGGCCUUAGGGUUGUAAAGCUCUUUCGCCCGCGAAGAUAAUGACGGUAGCGGGAGAAGAAGCCCCGGCUAACUCCGUGCCAGCAGCCGCGGUAAUACGGAGGGGGCUAGCGUUGUUCGGAAUUACUGGGCGUAAAGCGUACGUAGGCGGAUGCGCAAGUUGGGGGUGAAACCCCGGGGCUUAACCUCGGAAUUGCCCUCAAAACUGCACGUCUUGAGACCGAGAGAGGUAAGGGGAAUUCCUAGUGUAGAGGUGAAAUUCGUAGAUAUUAGGAAGAACACCAGUGGCGAAGGCGCCUUACUGGCUCGGUACUGACGCUGAGGUACGAAAGCGUGGGGAGCAAACA
Molecule: ribosomal RNA, 402 nt
Filed under: uncultured bacterium
Lineage: Bacteria
Description: bacterial SSU rRNA
Rfam family: Bacterial small subunit ribosomal RNA
Source: RNAcentral